UCUAUGUGAAUGUGUGUGUCCUUGCAAAGAUGUUCUAAGCAAGUUAGACACACACACACACACACACACACACUAUUUUUACACAAA
RNAcentral lists this microRNA precursor (87 nucleotides) under Choloepus hoffmanni (Hoffmann's two-fingered sloth). RNAcentral's name for it is "miRNA (ENSCHOG00000014241.1)". The record is from RNAcentral. Lineage: Eukaryota; Metazoa; Chordata; Mammalia; Pilosa; Megalonychidae.